Molecule: long non-coding RNA, 1371 nt
Filed under: Apteryx haastii (Great spotted kiwi)
Lineage: Eukaryota; Metazoa; Chordata; Aves; Apterygiformes; Apterygidae
Description: lncRNA (ENSAHAG00000012225.1)
Source: RNAcentral
AUGCCCUGUCCCUGCAGCCCUGGGUGCCCCCCACCUUCCAUGGCGCUGCUCCGCUCGGCCGCCCUCGCCGGCUGCGCGUCCCGCGCCAGGCCCUGGAGUUCCUCCGCCGCCGGCCCCUCCUGCCUGCCGUGCUUGGCCUCUGCCUGUGCCUCUGACUGCGUGAGCAGCACGGCCGCRUGCUGUUGGCCCAGCGCUGCCGUUGGCACAGGUGUGCGGAGCCUCGUGGGCUGCGGGACCAGCCCUGAGUUGUCGCAGCUGGCGGCGGCGCAUCGCCCACCUGCCCGCUGGUGUCGGGGUGCUCCUGGGCCCAGCGCGGCUCCUGCUCCUCCAGCUCCCCAGCUCUGCUCAGCAGUGCCUCACUCUGCUCUGGGUCCUGCUCCGAGCCCGGUGCCUCCGGGGGCAGCUGCGGCCCCGGGGAGCGCCGCCGCAGCGUCGCCUCGUAGCACAGCACCUGGGGGAGAGCGAGAUGGGCAGCGGCGGCGGCAUGGCCUGCGCGGAGCCCGCGGGGCGGCGAGGGGCGGCAGUACCUGCUCCAUCAGCGCCUGGCACCGCUGCAGCAGCAGGGCCAGGUCCCGCUGCUCCCGCUCUGCCGCGCUCUCCUGCCGCUGCAGCUGCGCCAGGCUCUCCCGGUUCUGGCGCCGGCAGAUGUCCAGGCCCUGCUGCAGCUCCCGAAUCCAGGCCAGCACCCGCCCUGGCUCCAGCACCGGCUGCCACCCAUCCUGGCGUGCCUGGGCCGCUCUGGGCUGCAGCACCGCUGCUGUCYGCUGUCCCUGGGACGCAGCACAGUGCAGCCGUCUGGCCUCACCACCACCACCGCGGGGACUGCCUCGGCUGCCCAGCUCGUGGCCACGUGUCCGCCUGGACUGGCCCAUCCUGGUGGCACGGGCGGGCGCCAGGCGUUGGGCGCUGCUCACCUGGGGCUGCCAUGGUGCUGGCUCCGGCUCCGGCUGGGUCUGCCCGGGGGCGCGGGGCUCCCCCAUCGCUGCCGCCACUCAGGUGCUCCGAGAGGCGCCGCCGCGUCCCUGGAGGCGCCGCAUCCCGGCCUCCCACCCCUGCCAAGCGCGGGACAGGCCAUCGCCAUCACCCUUGGCCCCUGCUGCGCCCGGCCCAGCACAGGGGGUCGCCAUGCUGCCCCGCUGUGGGAUGCCUCGGCCACGCUGUGGGGUGCGAGGCCCCCGCCGCGCCACGCCAUGGGGCCAGGCCCCAGCAAGGCCCCCACUGUGCCGUGGGGCCGGCCCAGGGCCUCGCGCCCACCGCCGCAGCCCAGCCAGCGCCACCCCCCGCACCAGCCCCCGGCCCCCCGACUCCCCGGCCCCCUCACCGCAGCCGCUGCCCGGCAGCGCGCUGGCCCCGGCAUGCUGCCACGCUCUG